AAAUUUCAAGUGUUUUGGGAGCUCUGUACCAGGAACCCAGGACAAAGACAGAGACGAGGUCUUGCUCUGUUGUCCUGGCUGGAGUGCAGUGGUUUGAUCGCAGCUCCUGACAACCUCUAACACUUGGGCUCAAGAAAUCCUCCUGCCUCAGCCUCUCAAGUAGCUGGGACUACAGAGACAUUCCACCAUGAUAGGGUGCUGGUCAUGGCUCCUCCAUCCCCCUGCCAGGGCCAGUGCAGUCCUUUCUGCUGGGUCCCCCGGCUCCUGACAACCUGCUCCUUACCUCCUGUGAAAGACGCAGACCAGCUGCUCACUAAACCCCUCUCUACCUGGCACCAGCACCGACUACAUUUCCCAGCAUCCCUUACAGCCAGGACCCAGAAGGAGGCUGGAGCCACACGAAGGAAAGAACCUGAGUCCAUGAACGAAAGGCAAACUGCAGGCUGGAAGCACCAGGCUUUGUAUGUGGGAAACAAACUACUGUGCCACGUCACAAGAGCUGGGAGUGGGCAAACCAUCCUGAAGGAAGGGCAGUCGCCCAAUGAGCAGAGGGAAUGGCCAGAGGAAGCAUCUGGGUCCACGUGACGGCAGCAUCUGCUCAGUCUGGCUUACCCCAGACUUCUCCUCAGGUAAUGACGGCACUAACAGAAAUAGCUGUGGGCAAGGCACAGUGGCACAUGCCUGUAAUCCCAACACUUUGGGAGGCCAAGGCAGAAGGAUUACCAGACCCCAGGAGUUUGAGACCAGCCUGGGCAACACAGUGAGAUCCUCUCUUUACAAAAAAUGUAAAAAUUAACUGGCUGUGGUGGUGUAUGCCUGUGU
Molecule: non-coding RNA, 822 nt
Organism: Callithrix jacchus (white-tufted-ear marmoset)
Lineage: Eukaryota; Metazoa; Chordata; Mammalia; Primates; Cebidae
Source: RefSeq, a predicted model, not a curated record